GACGAACGCUGGCGGCGUGCUUAACACAUGCAAGUCGAGCGGUAAGGCCCUUUCGGGGGGUACACGAGCGGCGAACGGGUGAGUAACACGUGGGUGACCUGCCCUCAGCUCUGGGAUAAGCCUGGGAAACCGGGGUCUAAUACCGGAUAUGACUCCAUGACGCAUGUUGUGGGGUGGAAAGCCUUGUGCGGCUGAGGAGUGGGCCCGCGGCCUAUCAGCUUGUUGGUGGGGUGAUGGCCUACCAAGGCGACGACGGGUAGCCGGCCUGAGAGGGCGACCGGCCACACUGGGAC
Molecule: ribosomal RNA, 293 nt
Filed under: uncultured bacterium
Lineage: Bacteria
Description: partial 16S ribosomal RNA
Rfam family: Bacterial small subunit ribosomal RNA
Source: RNAcentral